AUACGAAGGGGGCGAGCGUUAUUCGGAAUUAUUGGGCGUAAAGGGCUCGCAGGCUGCUUGAACAGUUAGACGUGAAAUCCCCGGGCUCAACCUGGGAACUGCGUUUAAUACUAGCAAGCUAGAGAAAUAGAGAGGAAAGUGGAACUCCCAGUGUAGAGGUGAAAUUCGUAGAUAUUGGGAAGAACACCAGUGGCGAAAGCGACUUUCUGGCUAUUUUCUGACGCUGAGGAGCGAAAGCGUGGGGAGCGAACAGGAUUAGAUACCCUGGUAGUCCACGCCCUAAACGAUGCUUACUCGAUGUUUGUAUUAAUAUGAGCAUCCAAGGGAAACCGUUAAGUAAGCCACCUGGGGAGUACGUUCGCAAGAAUGAAACUCAAAAGGAAUUGACGGGGUCCGCACAAGCGGUGGAGCAUGUGGUUUAAUUCGAUGAUACGCGAGGAACCUUACCUAGGCUCUAAUGUUAGCGCAAUCUGGUGAAAGCCGGAGUUCCUUCGGGACGCGAAACAAGGUGCUGCAUGGUUGUCGUC
RNAcentral lists this ribosomal RNA (527 nucleotides) under uncultured bacterium. RNAcentral's name for it is "bacterial SSU rRNA". It matches the Rfam family "Bacterial small subunit ribosomal RNA", at positions 523 to 1056 of the family's 1533-position model. The record is from RNAcentral.